This 1092-nucleotide ribosomal RNA is filed under the name Triticum aestivum (bread wheat). RNAcentral describes it as "partial small subunit ribosomal RNA". Lineage: Eukaryota; Viridiplantae; Streptophyta; Magnoliopsida; Poales; Poaceae. The record is from RNAcentral.
AUGGCGGGCCACGACCUUCUCGCACGGGAAGCCCUUCCUCCUCCUCCUCCUCCUCCGCGGCCACCAAACCCAUGGGAGGUGCUUGGGCUCGCCUUCGCCGUGAUUGGGCUGGCUGCACUGAUCGUGCUGCUCAUUCUAGGAAGCGUCUACUUCGUCGUCUGGAUAAGCCGGUGCCAUAGCGACGGCGACGAAGAGGCGGUGAAGACGGUGGCCGUGGAGCAGCAACUGGCAGAGCUGCCCCCGGCACCGCACCACGACCCGCAGCUCACCAGUGGGUUGAUCCUAACCGUCUCCAACUAUGGUGUUUGCCACAGCGUGAGGAUGACAUGGUAUGAACAUGUACUUGGAUCAGGAUAUGAGAGGGACAACCCUUAUCACGGUUCACAUGUAACAAAUGCGGGUAGCUACUUUGGGCUUGUUGUUACUAUGGACGUGUAUGGAUACAAUCUCAUUCAUGGCCAAGUGAGCACAACAACAAUUACUGUUGGUAACCUGGAGGGCGACUUCAAAUCAAACGAGGACGCAAUUUGGGUUGGAUGGCAAGUUUACCCAAAUCACUACGGUGAUUCACGUACUCGGUUCUUCACACUUUGGACCAGAGACGCUUAUCGUACUACAGGGUGCUUUGACAUGGAGUGUCCUGAUUUUGAGCCAACAAGGGGAGAGGGACUAAAACCGGGUGCAGUAAUAGAUCCAUUGUCGCAUCAUAAGAUUACAAUCAAAGUGCUUCAAGACAGAAGAACUAGGGACUGGUGGAUACAUGCCGGUUUUAAUGGUUCUACACCAGUUAUUGGGCGUUACCCGGCAAAACUAUUCGAUAGCUUAUACAGGAAAGCAAUUCACAUUGGAAUGGGUGGUGUUGUUGGAGCGGUUGGGAGUACCCCAACCCCUCCGAUGGGCAGUGGGUACUUCCCCUCUCAUAAAUCUGCUACAAUCACCGAUAUUUCAUACAUUGGAGAAAAUGGCAAACUCACACCAUUUUCUCUUAAUACAAGGAAAGUAGAGACUAAGAGCAGUUGUUACUCCGUCUCACCUAUUACGAAUGCCAGGUUCUCUUAUGGAGGGCCUGGAGGUUGCUCUGCGCAUGCUUAG